This is a non-coding RNA of Acanthosepion pharaonis, 114 nucleotides long. The record is from the annotation of a GenBank genome assembly. NCBI's taxonomy places the organism in Eukaryota, Metazoa, Mollusca, Cephalopoda, Sepiida, Sepiidae.
UCCGUCCACAUCACGUUUAAACAACGGUUUCCCGUACGAUCACCUAAGUUAAGCAAUGCUGAACCUGGUCAGUACCUAGAUGGGUGACCGCUUGGAAAUACCAGGCACUGUAAG